Molecule: long non-coding RNA, 243 nt
Filed under: Lathyrus oleraceus (garden pea)
Lineage: Eukaryota; Viridiplantae; Streptophyta; Magnoliopsida; Fabales; Fabaceae
Description: Pisum sativum (pea) long non-coding RNA (PSAT_LNC002428)
Source: RNAcentral
GGAGAUGUGAGGUUGUUAUGAGUGGGUGCCAGUUGUGUUUUUGAGUGUCAGUGAGGGAAGAGAGAGACAAAUUCUUUUUUUAUUAUUUUCUAUGUAACCGUUGAGGGAUAGGUUGGAAUGCCAACUGUCUAGUUGGGAUAAGGAGAAAAAGUUUAUUAUCAUUUGCUAGCUGUCAAACGUAAAUACGCUAUUAUCCUCACUUUUUUUAAAUUUUGGAAAUUAUAAAGAGUUAAUAAUCAUUUU